CCAGACUCCUACGGGAGGCAGCAGUGGGGGAUAUUGCACAAUGGGGGGAACCCUGAUGCAGCGACGCCGCGUGGGUGAAGGAGCACCUCGGCGCGUAAAGCCCUAUCGGCAGGGAAGAAACAGACGGCACCUGACUAAGAAGCCCCGGCUAACUACGUGCCAGCAGCCGCGGUAAUACGUAGGGGGCAAGCGUUAUCCGGAGUUACUGGGUGUAAAGGGAGCGUAGACGGCAGCGCGAGUCUGGAGUGAAAUGCCGGGGCCCAACCCCGGAACUGCUUUGGAAACUGUGCAGCUGGAGUGCAGGAGAGGUAAGCGGAAUUCCUAGUGUAGCGGUGAAAUGCGUAGAUAUUAGGAGGAACACCAGUGGCGAAGGCGGCUUACUGGACUGUAACUGACGUUGAGGCUCGAAAGCGUGGGGAGCAAACAGGAUUAGAUACCCCAGUACGA
This 447-nucleotide ribosomal RNA is filed under the name uncultured bacterium. Its description in RNAcentral is "bacterial SSU rRNA". It matches the Rfam family "Bacterial small subunit ribosomal RNA", at positions 331 to 794 of the family's 1533-position model. The record is from RNAcentral.